RNAcentral lists this ribosomal RNA (495 nucleotides) under uncultured bacterium. Its description in RNAcentral is "partial 16S ribosomal RNA". It matches the Rfam family "Bacterial small subunit ribosomal RNA", at positions 28 to 507 of the family's 1533-position model. The record is from RNAcentral.
GACGAACGCUGGCGGCGUGCCUAAUACAUGCAAGUAGAACGCUGAAGGAGGAGCUUGCUUCUCUGGAUGAGUUGCGAACGGGUGAGUAACGCGUAGGUAACCUGCCUGGUAGCGGGGGAUAACUAUUGGAAACGAUAGCUAAUACCGCAUAAGAGUAGAUGUUGCAUGACAUUUGCUUAAAAGGUGCAAUUGCAUCACUACCAGAUGGACCUGCGUUGUAUUAGCUAGUUGGUGAGGUAACGGCUCACCAAGGCGACGAUACAUAGCCGACCUGAGAGGGUGAUCGGCCACACUGGGACUGAGACACGGCCCAGACUCCUACGGGAGGCAGCAGUAGGGAAUCUUCGGCAAUGGACGGAAGUCUGACCGAGCAACGCCGCGUGAGUGAAGAAGGUUUUCGGAUCGUAAAGCUCUGUUGUAAGAGAAGAACGAGUGUGAGAGUGGAAAGUUCACACUGUGACGGUAUCUUACCAGAAAGGGACGGCUAACUACGUG